Molecule: long non-coding RNA, 411 nt
Filed under: Homo sapiens (human)
Lineage: Eukaryota; Metazoa; Chordata; Mammalia; Primates; Hominidae
Description: TCF4 antisense RNA 1 (TCF4-AS1)
Source: RNAcentral
CAGGAGACACUGGGAGUAAAGCCUGGCCUUUGGCUCUGCCAAAGACCACCCAGGGGACUGGAGAAAAGAGUGGUUGGUGGCUGGAGCUACAGGCCUGUUGCGUGACAAGGGUGCCCUGGACAGGCUGGCAGAAAGUCAAGCCAGAGACCUAAAAGAGAAGGUCCUGGGGAAAGCAAAGUUACCUUGAUUGCCUUUGACAACACUCAAGUACUUCAUUGGCCCUUCUGCUGCAGAACUUGAACACGUGGUUCUUCAAAUACAGUACUUUCCUCCCAACUCCCACCACUCCACUUUCCUACUAUGACUAUUUCACUCCUCUAUCAACUCAGCUGAAUCAUCAUUUCCUUGGGUCAGCUUUCCUUGUCCCCCCUGACUAGCAAUAAAUGUCCUCCUCAAAAAAAAAAAAAAAAA